UACAGAGACCUCAAGCGUUAUCCGGAAUCAUUGGGCGUAAAGCGUACCGAUAGGUGGUUUUGUUAGUCUUGGGUAAAAGCCAGAAGCUCAACUUCUGAGUUUGCUUAAGAUACUGCGAAACUAGAGGGGCAAAGAGGUGCUUGGAACGAAUGGUGUAGUAGUGAAAUGCGUUGAUAUCAUUCGGAACACCGAAAGCGUAGGCAGAGCACUGGGUGCCACCUGACACUGCUAGGACGAAAGCGUGGGGAGCGAAUGGG
RNAcentral lists this ribosomal RNA (257 nucleotides) under uncultured bacterium. RNAcentral's name for it is "partial 16S ribosomal RNA". It matches the Rfam family "Bacterial small subunit ribosomal RNA", at positions 524 to 776 of the family's 1533-position model. The record is from RNAcentral.